Molecule: ribosomal RNA, 572 nt
Filed under: Taiozyma rabaulensis
Lineage: Eukaryota; Fungi; Ascomycota; Saccharomycetes; Phaffomycetales; Wickerhamomycetaceae
Description: eukaryotic LSU rRNA
Rfam family: Eukaryotic large subunit ribosomal RNA
Source: RNAcentral
AAACCAACAGGGAUUGCCUCAGUAACGGCGAGUGAAGCGGCAAAAGCUCAAAUUUGAAAUCUAGUACCUUCGGUGCUCGAGUUGUAAUUUGAAGAUGGUAACUUUGGAGUUGGCCCUUGUCUAUGUUCCUUGGAACAGGACGUCACAGAGGGUGAGAAUCCCGUCUGACGAGGUGAUCCAACUCUAUGUAAAGUGCUAUCGAAGAGUCGAGUUGUUUGGGAAUGCAGCUCUAAGUGGGUGGUAAAUUCCAUCUAAAGCUAAAUAUUGGCGAGAGACCGAUAGCGAACAAGUACAGUGAUGGAAAGAUGAAAAGAACUUUGAAAAGAGAGUGAAAAAGUACGUGAAAUUGUUGAAAGGGAAGGGUAUUAGAUCAGACUUGGCGUUUUAUGAUUAUCUUCCCUUCUUGGGUUGUGCACUCGUAUUGCGCUGGGCCAGCAUCGAUUCGGAUGGCAGGAUAAUGGCGAUUGAAUGUGGCAUCCACUUCGGUGUAUGUGUUAUAGCUUUUGUUGAUGCUGCCUAUCUGGAUCGAGGACUGCGUCUUUUGACUAGGAUGUUGGCGUAAUGAUCUAAUA